CUAGUAAUCGCAGAUCAGAAUGCUGCGGUGAAUACGUUCCCGGGUCUUGUACACACCGCCCGUCACACCAUGGGAGUCGGAUAUGCCCGAAGCCAGUGACCCAACCGUAAGGAGGGAGCUGUCGAAGGUGGAGCCGAUAACUGGGGUGAAGUCGUAACAAGGUACC
RNAcentral lists this ribosomal RNA (166 nucleotides) under uncultured bacterium. RNAcentral's name for it is "partial 16S ribosomal RNA". It matches the Rfam family "Bacterial small subunit ribosomal RNA", at positions 1335 to 1500 of the family's 1533-position model. The record is from RNAcentral.